This 241-nucleotide ribosomal RNA is filed under the name uncultured Actinomycetales bacterium. Its description in RNAcentral is "partial 16S ribosomal RNA". It matches the Rfam family "Bacterial small subunit ribosomal RNA", at positions 89 to 334 of the family's 1533-position model. The record is from RNAcentral. Lineage: Bacteria; Bacillati; Actinomycetota; Actinomycetes; Actinomycetales.
ACUCGAGUGGCGAACGGGUGAGUAACACGUGGGUGAUCUGCCUUGCACUUCGGGAUAAGCCUGGGAAACUGGGCCUAAUACCGGAUAGGACCAUGCUUUAGUGUGUGUGGUGGAAAGUUUUUCGGUGCAAGAUGAGCCCGCGGCCUAUCAGCUUGUUGGUGGGGUAAUGGCCUACCAAGGCGACGACGGGUAGCCGGCCUGAGAGGGUGUACGGCCACAUUGGGACUGAGACACGGCCCAG